Molecule: long non-coding RNA, 4430 nt
Organism: Heterocephalus glaber (naked mole-rat)
Lineage: Eukaryota; Metazoa; Chordata; Mammalia; Rodentia; Bathyergidae
Source: Ensembl
GAUGUUCUGAAAGCUGUGUUUAUUCAAGUAUCAAUUUACAUUCUGCAAAAUCUACUAAACAUGAGAUCUGACAAAUGCAUAAUCAUGUAACCACCACCAUAAUCAAGUAGAACAAUUGUGGAACAAGAUGUGAACAGGCAAAAAAAUCUCUUGGAAUCAAUUCAUGUUGCCAAAAGGAUUAAAAUCUAAUCACUAAAAUGACCUUUUGCAUAUAAAAUACAGGACCAUGUUUUUCAAAAAGCGAGAUACUUUAGUUAUGAAAUAGCUACUUAGAAUUGUUUUGACCUUAAUGUACUAAUCUUUGUAGAGUAUAUGAAUCAAGAUAGUUUCAGACUGGGACUAGAUGAUUAAAAAAAAAAAUGGAAUUCUACAGAAAUUAGUCUCUGCGGGACCAACUGCACUAAAAGGCAAAGGCACAAAAUUCUCAGAUAUCUGUUCCUAUGUGUAACUGCACCUGUCUCAAAAUUCACCCCUGCUACAAUAGGCAUAGGGCAAAAUCUCUACUUUGCAUACAGAUACACCUUUUCUACUCGAAAAGCUUCACCUAUUCUUCCAGGUACCAGACCUGUUAAAAAAAAAAAAUCACAAUAGGUAAGUAUUAAGUCAGUAAUUACUAAAUAACAGCAAAAAUAGUGGUUUCUAGUUUCACCCACUGCUGACUCAGUUAACAUAGUAACAUUUUUAAUAUUCAAAAUCCUUUCUCUUGGCUUGAGUAUUGAUUUACUACAGGGGUUUCCCCCCUUUUUUGCCUAAAGCAAAAGGGUGGUGCUGAUUGAAUUUAGUAAAUUCCUGCAUAUCAAAUUGGCCUCAGGUAAAUCCUUUAACCCAUCAGAGUAGAGCAUAUCCAAUCAGGUUAGAGUUCUCAUCUUUGGCCAGGAAUUCUAUUCCUAUUAUUAGCUCAAGCCCCUAGUUUUUUCCAUAGGUCCAUACCUUAUGUUUAUCAACAUCUUGAACUCCACUGAGCCUGGUUAAAAAAAAGUGACAGCAAUAUUAAUAACGGGCUACAACUUUAUCUUUGGAAGAGCAGCCACUAUUUUGGCUAUCUACUAAGCUAUCUUUGAGGAUUACAUAGAACACUACCUCUAAAUAGAUCUUUUUUUUUUUUUUUUUUUUUGGGACCGGAGAUCGAACUCUGGACCUUGCACUUGCAAGGCAGGCACUGGAACCACUGAGCUAAAAUUCCCGGCCCUAAAUAGAUAUUUUUUAUAAAGCUGCAACCUCCAAAUUUCUGACACUUGGGAGUCUUCUGUAAUUUCCAGUUAUGAGUGAAAUGAAGCAAGAUUCCUUAUACUGUUACCAUCUUUCCAACUAUAUCUGAUACACUAGCACGGAAUGGCAUCACGUUUAUGGUAUUUUCUUAGGAAAAACUGAAACACAACUUUUCCAGAUUUUUAAAAAUCAAAAGCACUCAUUUGUUUACCCUGAAGCUGAGAUUAAACCCAGAGGUUGAGAAGUUUCCGGUUUCCACAGCCUUUAAAUAGACUAGCUCUGGCUGCCGCCUUGAUCUGCCAAGCUCUCUGCUUACGUCUCUCAUAGGUCAAACUGAAUAAACACUUUGGCUCAAGAGGAACCCUAACACCAAGAGCAAUGCUAAACAAAGGGGACCCAUUCCCUGUUCCGUGUGCAGGGCUAUCUGUCAGAUUGGGGUACUCAGGACAGGGAAAGUUGUCCAAGUGGUCUAGGGCUGAACAAGAUGCCGGGAACACGGGCCACCCACACUACACUCCCUUCCUCUUUAAUGACACUCAGAAUGCUCAGUGAAGCCUGAGAGGAUUAGUAUGAGGCGAAAAUACGAACUGAGACUAGACCUUUAUAAGGGGAUGGGGUGCCGGGCUGUCUCGAACAACGGCGAGAGCAGCGACCAGGGGCUGGCUAGGUGACCUCUUAUUUAUAUGGGCAAGGGGUAUGGGGGGGGGCAUAGUGGAGGCAGCCAGUGGUGAGGUUUAAAUCCAUUGGCAAUUUGAAUUUCUCGGUGGGAAGGACUAUAAGUGGGAAAGCUUCAAGGCGGUAAAGUUAGGUUAUUGUUUCCCUGAAUGACUUAUUAUCUGCCAGGAAGGUCCAUUUAGGAGGUGGGCUUGCCAGAGCCAUUUUAUCUAGCAGAGAACUCUAUCAAUACCCCAAAUACGGACACACGUACCCCAAGACUUAGAAACUCUUGAGAGAAGCUGUCCAGGACGGCCUCGUAUGCUCUAUAGCUUGGUGGGCAGAAGUCAGGUAUUUAAGGCCGUGUCCAAGGCAGAACCUUGGGUUCAGAUUUUUUUCCCCAGGGAAGAAAAGCCAGGCCUCCCUCCCUGAACAGCUGGAAGCGGGCCCUGCGCAGCACACCGCGCCGGCCGCCCCUAAAAGGCGGAUCUGGGGGCGAAACGUGGGCUUCCUCAGUUCAGGCUCAGAGCGGUGUGUCUGACUCACGGGUCUUCAGCUCCCGCUAGACUCUCCCUGGAACCUUUUCAAAAUCCCAAAUGCCUUCCAAAGUGACAACUAAAAGGCAUUUGUGGCGGGGAAGUGGCCGCGUGGGCGAAAUUACCUCCGUUUCCAGCCAGAACUGGAAUUAUACUGCUCCACUAGGAAAUUUCAAAAUGCUUCAGAACCUCUGAUCUCAUCUGCUUCCUCGAUAGACCAUGUGCCCGUGACCCGGCGGGAGCCCCGAUCCCGGAGGUCCCCGCGCAGGGCAGGGGGUGCAGGCGGCUGGGUCCACAGACCGCCGUCCAGAGUCUACUCACCCAGGAGUGCGCGCGGCCGAAAAGGGAAGGAGCUGGCGAGGCCCAGUUGAAAAGGGCCCUGGGCCGUCCUCACCCGCGCAGCAGCCAACCAAAAAUUGGCCCGGACGCCCCUCCCGGGCCAGCACCCCGCCUAGCGCCUGCCUCCCCGCCCGCCCAGCCCGGAGGCCCUCGCGCGUCCCCUGCCGGGAGAAGGAGCCCUGGUCUCCCGCGGCCAGGGCCUCUCGGCCUCCCCAGUCGCGGGCUCGGACAGCACUGGGAAGGAAUUUCAGUAAAAUCCUGUGCAGACACCAAUCUUGGCAGCAUGCAGUCUUGAGGUUGUCCUGCUGGCUUCCUCCUUCAGCCUGUCCCCUGGUCUCAGUGGGGAUUGGCUAAGAUUCCUUUCUGAUCAGGUGGGAGAACCACGGUCUCUGCCCAACAGCUUGCCUGUUCCAAGCAGCUGCAAGCUUGUUCUCAAGCCAGAAGACAAUGACUGCCCUCACUGAAGCAGAGAUCGAAAUUGGCACCUGCCCUCCUUUGCUUCUCUGUAUAGCAAAACUCCCUUAAGAGUUGUCUCUAUUUGGGUGGGGGAUUUAGCUCAGUGGUUUUGCCGCCUGCUGUGCAAGCACAAGGACCCAAGUUCAAUCCCCGGUACCAAAAAAAAAAAAAAAGAGUUGUUUCUAUUUGUCUCCAUUCCUCUCCUCCAUUCUCUUGUGAAUCUGAUUGUGGUGGACAGUGCCCAGUAGCCCACCUCCUGCAAUUCAUGCCCUUGUCAGACCCCUGCCCUUGGUGUGGGGUGAACAGUAGAAGUGAUAGGAUGGCACACAAAAAGAUGCCAAGCAUGCUGUGUCAUGAAGGAAUUGCAUAUUAAAGCAGCACUGAGAUACUACUACACACCCACUGGAAUCACUGAAAUCCCAAACACUGACACCUUCAAAUGUUGGUGAGGAUGCGGAGCAACAGGAAUGCUCAUUCAUUGCUAGUGGGAAUGCAAAAUGGAGUAUUUGGAAGACCAUUUGUUGGUUUGUUACAAAGCUGAACAUACUUUUACCACAUGAUCCAGGAAUUUUACUCCUUGGUAUUUACCCAGGGGAGUUGAACACUUAUGUGCACACAAACACCUGUGCACAAAUGAUUAUAUCAACUUUAUUCAUAACCACCAAAAUUUGAGAGGGCAAGGGGAAUUUUUAAAAAUCAAGAUGCAAUGUUUAUAUGUACCAAUUCUCUAAAAUGAAUGUAUUUAUUAUGUAUUGCAAACAUAUACUAAUAAAAUUUUUUUAAAAAUUGGGAGCAACCAAGAUGUUCUUCUGUAGGUGAAUGAAUAAACUGUGGUUCAUCGAGACCACAGAAUAUUUAGCACUAAAUAAAAUGAGCUAUCAACUCACAAAAGGACAUGCAGAAAGCUUGAAGGCAUGUUACAAAGUGAAUGAAGCCAAUCUGAAAAGGCUACAUAUUGUAUGAUUCCAACUAUUUAACAUUUAGAAAAGGCAAAACUGGAGACAGUGAGAAGAUCAGUGAUUGCCAGACAGUGGGGGAAGGGAAGAUGGAUGAAUGGAAUGAGAUUUUUGGCAGUGAGAGUAGAAAUUCUGUAUGAUACAUUCAUGAAAAUCCAGAGUGUCUAACACAGAGUGAACCCUAAUGAAAUCUAUGAACUUUGCUUGGUAAUGAUGUGUCAGUGUAGGUUCACCAAUUGUAACAAAUGUACCACCUCGGAAUGGGAUGCUGAUAGUGAGG